Molecule: long non-coding RNA, 1050 nt
Organism: Cannabis sativa
Lineage: Eukaryota; Viridiplantae; Streptophyta; Magnoliopsida; Rosales; Cannabaceae
Exons: 2
Source: RefSeq, a predicted model, not a curated record
AUUCCUAAACAAACCCUACACACAGCAAAGAAACCAUUAAAAGCCAAGGUCAAUUAAGACCUUUACCCAGUCAAACCUUCCCUUUUUGACCCCUGCAUUAAAUUCAAACGACAGCCCCUAUUCCCAAUUACUACUAGUCGUUUACUACACCAGAAGCCCUAAAAGCAUUUGACAUAUAUAUACAUCUUUAUCUUCACAAAACAUAAACAGCAACCUUUCUAAAUAAACCCUAGCCGUGAGCCUCCUUUCUUCACUGUUCUUCUUUGAAGAACAUGAAGAACACCUGCAUCUCAACCCAGAAAAAUACCCUCUGCCCAGAUCUAAUUAAACCCCAACUGAGCCUAAGUCUUCGUGGUUCUUCACAGAAGAACACGAAGAACACCACAGAUAAUACCCAGAAAAAUAGCUUCCCCAAACUGAUUUUAACCCAGAAUUUAUAAACACAAACAACAAAGAUGAAGCAGAAAAGUAAAGAGAAGAAAGAUAGCACCGGAUUUAUAGAGGUUCCCCAAUGAAAUCUGGGUACGUCCUCUUGAGCUCGCCUCUUCCACUAUAGAUCUUCAAUGAUCAAGAGAUUACACAGCAAGGAUUCCAACUCAUAGCAUUUUGAGAGUGUGUUUUUCUUCUUUGCAACAUGAACAACAUCAUCCCGAGUUGUGGAUCUCCAAACCCAAAUCUAGGGCUUCAAGGCAAACCCGCUGUAAGCCUCAACCACGAACUCCCCUGUUCAUGUUCUGUGUUUUUCUGGAGAAGAAAUUUGAAUCUGUGUAUCUUUUUUUGCUCUCUGUUGUAUCUGAUCUGAGUUUUAAUUUGUAUAUUCUGAUCUUGUAUUGUGUUGUUGUAUUUCUGCCUUUUAUAUAUGUUGUAGUAGUGGAAAAAACAGAGAAAGGAGUUGGUUACAAAGUUUAAUAAACUUUGUAACAAACUUGCUGAUCUGUCCUAGGUAUUUAGAGGCCAAAGGCCACCUAGGAUUUAUUUUACUGUCUUGUAAUCUCUUUGUAAAAAAUCUGGUUUUACAGUGUAUAGCUAAUAUGGGGUUUACUUCAACAA